CGGCGAGGAGGUCAGGGAAGAAGCUACAGACAGAGGCUGGCCAGGUGGGCCAGUCAAUGAUUACCUUAGGCUUACUAGAAAAUACCUGGGCUCUUGGGGUGGGCAAGACCGAUCUCCAUUUUCGUCAUCUGAGAGCAGGAACAGCAUGUGAGGACCGCGGAUGAAUCGCCAACCUGUGCAGUUACCACCCAACCUCAGCCUACCAGGAGCACUCCAGCCCACACCAGAAACCACUCACGGAGCGGAGGGGGCUCCCAACAACCAGGGCCGAGGUGCAGAGAGGAACCUGGGUCUCAUCCCUCCAGUAAUUUUGAGUGGUUUUCUUCCUUUCUGCUCCUGCUGCUUGAUAGGAGAUGUAGACAUAGACUCCCCCAGUCUCUCUCUCUCUCUCUCUCUCUCUCUCUCUCUCUCUCUCUCUCUCUCUCUCUCUCCCCCUCUCUCUCUCUUCCUUUUUCCUGAGGCAAGUCAUUACCUCACCACGGACAGGGGCCCAGUGGUACCACCAACUCUUACAUUCUAGCCACAUCCAACCACAAUCAUUUAUCAAUCAGCUGAUGAAUUUUUUCCAAAAGCCAAAUAUAGUCCAGGUGCUAGAGAUUAGCACAAAUAGAGUCCCUGCCUUCCAGUUAAAGAGAGAAGCCAAAGGAAUGGGCAAGCCUUUUUAGCACCACGAGGACUCAGGCACAGCAAAAUCAGAUCUGAACACUCUGCCUCCUAUGACCUGCCCAUCAUGCUGCGGGCAGCUCCUUCCCCAAUCACCGUCUAACUGAGUAACCUGGGCAGGUUUCUUUGUGUUCCCUCAUUCAUCUCAGCCUGGCAGAAGUGGAUGGUUGAAAGGGACCCACCUAUCUGCCAGGCCGGCUUCGCGAUUUGAGUCAGACCCUGUGGACACCAUCCCUUGGCAAACUAGAAAGCCUAUAUCAGAUUCUCAAGUUCCUCUUUUCUCCCUUUCUCCGUGGGUGCCUAAGGAUCGAGGACCAUCCCCUGGGAGCCCAGGAUGAGAACAGGGAGGUUGAUGUGCUGAUGGAGUUGGCCACCCCUCCCUGCCCAGCCUGCCUGGGCAGUACUGCACAGAGCUGGCCUCUAUGUGGGGUUCAGAGAGUCUCCUGGCUCCCACACAGAGCCCUUUUCUCCUGGGCUCCUGCACAAAGCUUGUUCACAGUCACCCAUUCAGAAAGCUGGGUGAUUGAAAGGAGGCUGCAGGCCGGCAGGGUGACCUUCGGGUCUGCCUGGGUGGGAGAGAGAGUUAGAUCCCGCCGAAGCCCCCCAGGCCCUAAGAGGACCAGCUGGGCUUUGAAUCCUCACAGACACAGCUAGGAAGAUACCUUGAGGCGAAGAACACUGGCCUGAGGUGCUGGCUCCCAGCCCCAGUGAAUUACUUACCCUUCUUCUCAUUGCUCCCAUUCACAAAAAAAACAGAAUAAAUAAUCACCCCCACCCCCAAUCUCAGAGUGGAUUGAAGAAAGUGGGGUGGGACUAUAGGUGUUUGGCAGAAAGAUGGAUUUGCAGCUGAAUAAACAGGUUUAGCCAGUGUGUUAAAACAAGUUCAGGCCUCCGUACAUUCUAGUCACCACGCUAAUGGUACUUUCUCUGAAGAUGGAAUGUUCCAUGCUGUACUGCCCCACGGGACAGCCACAGUCUGCAGGUGCUGCUACCAAGCAGU
This is a long non-coding RNA of Peromyscus californicus insignis, 1663 nucleotides long. RefSeq lists it as uncharacterized. The record is from RefSeq and is a predicted model, not a curated record. Lineage: Eukaryota; Metazoa; Chordata; Mammalia; Rodentia; Cricetidae. The transcript is spliced from 3 exons.